Musa acuminata AAA Group (dessert banana) is the source of this 606-nucleotide long non-coding RNA. RefSeq lists it as uncharacterized. The record is from RefSeq and is a predicted model, not a curated record. The transcript is spliced from 3 exons. Lineage: Eukaryota; Viridiplantae; Streptophyta; Magnoliopsida; Zingiberales; Musaceae.
CGUGACUGUUCACACAUGGGUGGGCCAAUUUGGGGACGGCGGAGCCGCGGCGUUCGGUGCUAUCGUGAAGGACGGCGGUCUCAAGCUCCGUUUAUGAUCUGUCGCUUCCGCUGCUAAACAAUGUAAAGGGGUGCACGCCAAAAGAUUAUAUCAUCGGACUAUACCAUUGAUCCGAGUACACACGGAGAGGAUGAGCCUUGGUGUCGCGGUUACUUUCCUCCUUGACAAGAUGGAUUACCAAGAUUCGAGUCAUAGAAACAGUGUUUCUGCUUAUAAGGAAUGGGGUCUACGCCAACAGACAUCUCAGUGUUGCCCAACAUACAUGUGUGUGCUUUUGGAAAAGUGUUAGUCCCUUUUGCAUAGAAUAUUAUGAUAUGUUCAGCAUGGGGCCGCAUGACAGUCCGUGAUGCAAGUGUUGAGUUACCUAGCAGUUAUAGGUUGUUCAGAGUUACCUAUCUUUAAUUCCCUCAUUUUUCUUGUUUUUUGAAAAAUUGAUUGGAUAUUCAGUCAGAUUUAUAUUUGGCUUAAUGGUUUUGUUAUGUAGGUGGGAUUUGUGGAUACUGGAUCACAUUCUUUCUCUAGUAACAAGAUAAUUAUUGCAGGCCA